Molecule: ribosomal RNA, 241 nt
Filed under: uncultured bacterium
Lineage: Bacteria
Description: partial 16S ribosomal RNA
Rfam family: Bacterial small subunit ribosomal RNA
Source: RNAcentral
UGAGGAACAUGACUUUCGGCGGGGGAUAGCCGGCCCAACGGCCGGGUAAUACCGCGUACGACCUUUUGGGACAUCCCCGAUUGGUGAAAGCAGCAAUGCGCCGUAAGAGUGCCUCGCGGCCUAUCAGCUAGUUGGUGGGGUAANGGCUCACCAAGGCGACGACGGGUAGCUGGUCUGAGAGGAUGGCCAGCCACAGUUGGGACUGAGACACGGCCCAGACUCCGUACGGGAGGCAGCAGGG